ACCUUUCACCUGCCUUCCCGGACCUGCGAGCUUGCCCUCCCACCCCAGAACCCCGCAGGGCUGGGCCCUGCCUCACCGCUAACCACCAAGAGAGGAUGGGGGACUGCCUGGGGGCUUCCGGGAGGCAAGUACUGAGAAACCCAAGCCUGAGGCUCCCAGCGUCUUCCAAAGCUUCUAGGUCAGGAACCUGGAAUUUAGAACUGGCCAACAGGAUGCCCCC
RNAcentral lists this long non-coding RNA (220 nucleotides) under Dasypus novemcinctus (nine-banded armadillo). Its description in RNAcentral is "lncRNA (ENSDNOG00000052864.1)". Lineage: Eukaryota; Metazoa; Chordata; Mammalia; Cingulata; Dasypodidae. The record is from RNAcentral.